CUACGGGAGGCAGCAGUAGGGAAUAUUGCACAAUGGGCGAAAGCCUGAUGCAGCAACGCCGCGUGCGCGAUGAAGGCCUUCGGGUCGUAAAGCGCUUUUCGAGGGGAUGAGGAAGGACAGUACCCUCGGAAUAAGUCACGGCUAACUACGUGCCAGCAGCCGCGGUAAGAUGUAGGUGGCGAGCGUUAUCCGGAUUUACUGGGCGUAAAGCGCGUGCAGGCGGUUCGGUAAGUCGGGCGUGAAAUCUCCUGGCUCAACUGGGAGGGGUCGUCCGAAACUACCGGACUUGAGGGCAGUAGAGGAGGGUGGAAUUCCGGGUGUAGUGGUGAAAUGCGUAGAUAUCCGGAGGAACACCGGUGGCGAAAGCGGCCUCCUGGGCUGCCCCUGACGCUCAGGCGCGAAAGCCAGGGGAGCAAACGGGAUUAGAAACCCUAGUAGUCC
This 441-nucleotide ribosomal RNA is filed under the name uncultured bacterium. Its description in RNAcentral is "bacterial SSU rRNA". It matches the Rfam family "Bacterial small subunit ribosomal RNA", at positions 339 to 796 of the family's 1533-position model. The record is from RNAcentral.